This 712-nucleotide ribosomal RNA is filed under the name uncultured beta proteobacterium. RNAcentral describes it as "bacterial SSU rRNA". It matches the Rfam family "Bacterial small subunit ribosomal RNA", at positions 55 to 762 of the family's 1533-position model. The record is from RNAcentral. Lineage: Bacteria; Pseudomonadati; Pseudomonadota; Betaproteobacteria.
AUGCAAGUCGAACGGCAGCGCGGGCUUCGGCCUGGCGGCGAGUGGCGAACGGGUGAGUAAUACAUCGGAACGUGCCCUAGAGUGGGGGAUAACUAGUCGAAAGAUUAGCUAAUACCGCAUACGGUCUACGGAUGAAAGUGGGGGACCGCAAGGCCUCAUGCUCCUGGAGCGGCCGAUGUCUGAUUAGCUUGUUGGUGGGGUAACGGCCCACCAAGGCGACGAUCAGUAGCUGGUCUGAGAGGACGACCAGCCACACUGGGACUGAGACACGGCCCAGACUCCUACGGGAGGCAGCAGUGGGGAAUUUUGGACAAUGGGGGAAACCCUGAUCCAGCAAUGCCGCGUGUGUGAAGAAGGCCUUCGGGUUGUAAAGCACUUUUGUCAGGAACGAAACGGUGGGGGCUAAUAUCCUCUGCUAAUGACGGUACCUGAAGAAUAAGCACCGGCUAACUACGUGCCAGCAGCCGCGGUAAUACGUAGGGUGCGAGCGUUAAUCGGAAUUACUGGGCGUAAAGCGUGCGCAGGCGGUUGUGCAAGACAGAUGUGAAAUCCCCGGGCUUAACCUGGGAAUUGCAUUUGUGACUGCACGGCUAGAGUGUGUCAGAGGGGGGUAGAAUUCCACGUGUAGCAGUGAUAUGCGUAGAUAUGUGGAGGAAUACCGAUGGCGAAGGCAGCCUCCUGGGAUGACACUGACGCUCAUGCACGAAAGCGU